RNAcentral lists this ribosomal RNA (424 nucleotides) under uncultured Chryseobacterium sp. RNAcentral describes it as "bacterial SSU rRNA". It matches the Rfam family "Bacterial small subunit ribosomal RNA", at positions 355 to 776 of the family's 1533-position model. The record is from RNAcentral. Lineage: Bacteria; Pseudomonadati; Bacteroidota; Flavobacteriia; Flavobacteriales; Weeksellaceae.
UGAGGAAUAUUGGACAAUGGGUGCAAGCCUGAUCCAGCCAUCCCGCGUGAAGGAUUAAGGACCUAUGGUUUGUAAACUUCUUUUGUACAGGGAUAAACCUAUCUACGUGUAGAUAGCUGAAGGUACUGUACGAAUAAGCACCGGCUAACUCCGUGCCAGCAGCCGCGGUAAUACGGAGGGUGCAAGCGUUAUCCGGAUUUAUUGGGUUUAAAGGGUCCGUAGGCGGAUCUAUAAGUCAGUGGUGAAAGCCGACAGCUUAACUGUCGAACUGCCGUUGAUACUGUAGGUCUUGAGUAAAUUUGAAGUGGCUGGAAUAAGUAGUGUAGCGGUGAAAUGCAUAGAUAUUACUUAGAACACCAAUUGCGAAGGCAGGUCACUAAGAUUUAACUGACGCUGAUGGACGAAAGCGUGGGGAGCGAACAGG